Molecule: ribosomal RNA, 427 nt
Filed under: uncultured prokaryote
Description: bacterial SSU rRNA
Rfam family: Bacterial small subunit ribosomal RNA
Source: RNAcentral
UGGGGAAUUUUGGACAAUGGGCGCAAGCCUGAUCCAGCCAUGCCGCGUGAGUGAAGAAGGCCUUCGGGUUGUAAAGCUCUUUCGGUGGGGAAGAAAUUGCUUCGAUUAAUACUCGGAGUAGAUGACGGUACCCGCAUAAGAAGCACCGGCUAACUACGUGCCAGCAGCCGCGGUAAUACGUAGGGUGCGAGCGUUAAUCGGAAUUACUGGGCGGAAAGCGUGCGCAGGCGGUUGUAUAAGUCAGAUGUGAAAUCCCCGGGCUCAACCUGGGAACUGCAUUUGAGACUGUACGGCUAGAGUGUGGCAGAGGGGGGUGGAAUUCCACGUGUAGCAGUGAAAUGCGUAGAGAUGUGGAGGAACACCGAUGGCGAAGGCAGCCCCCUGGGCCAAUACUGACGCUCAUGCACGAAAGCGUGGGGAGCAAACA